CAUGGGGUAGAUGUGAUUGCUUGUGCUAUUGCCUUAGAAAGAAGCAUUUUAGUUCUCAUGCUGCUGGGAAUGCUUUAACAUAUGUGAGGGAGGCUAAUUCAGGCCACCCUAUUAAAUUAGUCAUGAGCUCAUGUUGAAAUAAUGAGGAUGAGCAAAACUGGAGACAAUGCAAAUUAAGAGGAAAUCCUCUCACUGGAUGGAGACAUACCCAGCACUAAGAGGAUGGAGGAGGCACUGAAGUUUUUGGUUCAGCUUGCUUUGAGGACCAUCAACACCAAACUUGCAGUAUCCAAUGUGAAGAGGAGAAGGCCAUAGUGGU
This is a long non-coding RNA of Rhincodon typus (whale shark), 319 nucleotides long. RefSeq lists it as uncharacterized. The transcript is spliced from 3 exons. The record is from RefSeq and is a predicted model, not a curated record. NCBI's taxonomy places the organism in Eukaryota, Metazoa, Chordata, Chondrichthyes, Orectolobiformes, Rhincodontidae.